This 2788-nucleotide ribosomal RNA is filed under the name Klebsiella pneumoniae. RNAcentral's name for it is "bacterial LSU rRNA". It matches the Rfam family "Bacterial large subunit ribosomal RNA". Lineage: Bacteria; Pseudomonadati; Pseudomonadota; Gammaproteobacteria; Enterobacterales; Enterobacteriaceae. The record is from RNAcentral.
ACAACGCCGAAGAUGUUUUGGCGAUUUGANCACUAUCGUUAACUGAAUACAUAGGUUAACGAGGCGAACCGGGGGAACUGAAACAUCUAAGUACCCCGAGGAAAAGAAAUCAACCGAGAUUCCCCCAGUAGCGGCGAGCGAACGGGGAGCAGCCCAGAGUCUGAAUCAGCUUGUGUGUUAGUGGAACGGUCUGGAAAGUCCGACGGUACAGGGUGAUAGUCCCGUACACCAAAAUGCACAGGUUGUGAACUCGAAGAGUAGGGCGGGACACGUGGUAUCCUGUCUGAAUAUGGGGGGACCAUCCUCCAAGGCUAAAUACUCCUGACUGACCGAUAGUGAACCAGUACCGUGAGGGAAAGGCGAAAAGAACCCCGGCGAGGGGAGUGAAAAAGAACCUGAAACCGUGUACGUACAAGCAGUGGGAGCACCUUCGGGUGUGACUGCGUACCUUUUGUAUAAUGGGUCAGCGACUUAUAUUCUGUAGCAAGGUUAACCGUAUAGGGGAGCCGCAGGGAAACCGAGUCUUAACUGGGCGUUAAGUUGCAGGGUAUAGACCCGAAACCCGGUGAUCUAGCCAUGGGCAGGUUGAAGGUUGGGUAACACUAACUGGAGGACCGAACCGACUAAUGUUGAAAAAUUAGCGGAUGACUUGUGGCUGGGGGUGAAAGGCCAAUCAAACCGGGAGAUAGCUGGUUCUCCCCGAAAGCUAUUUAGGUAGCGCCUCGUGAACUCAUCUUCGGGGGUAGAGCACUGUUUCGGCUAGGGGGUCAUCCCGACUUACCAACCCGAUGCAAACUACGAAUACCGAAGAAUGUUAUCACGGGAGACACACGGCGGGUGCUAACGUCCGUCGUGAAGAGGGAAACAACCCAGACCGCCAGCUAAGGUCCCAAAGUCAUGGUUAAGUGGGAAACGAUGUGGGAAGGCACAGACAGCCAGGAUGUUGGCUUAGAAGCAGCCAUCAUUUAAAGAAAGCGUAAUAGCUCACUGGUCGAGUCGGCCUGCGCGGAAGAUGUAACGGGGCUAAACCAUGCACCGAAGCUGCGGCAGCGACACUAUGUGUUGUUGGGUAGGGGAGCGUUCUGUAAGCCUGCGAAGGUGUGCUGUGAGGCAUGCUGGAGGUAUCAGAAGUGCGAAUGCUGACAUAAGUAACGAUAAAGCGGGUGAAAAGCCCGCUCGCCGGAAGACCAAGGGUUCCUGUCCAACGUUAAUCGGGGCAGGGUGAGUCGACCCCUAAGGCGAGGCCGAAAGGCGUAGUCGAUGGGAAACAGGUUAAUAUUCCUGUACUUGGUGUUACUGCGAAGGGGGGACGGAGAAGGCUAUGUUAGCCGGGCGACGGUUGUCCCGGUUUAAGCAUGUAGGCUGAUUGUCCAGGCAAAUCCGGAUAAUCAAGGCUGAGGUGUGAUGACGAGGCACUACGGUGCUGAAGUAACAAAUGCCCUGCUUCCAGGAAAAGCCUCUAAGCAUCAGGUAACAUUAAAUCGUACCCCAAACCGACACAGGUGGUCAGGUAGAGAAUACCAAGGCGCUUGAGAGAACUCGGGUGAAGGAACUAGGCAAAAUGGUGCCGUAACUUCGGGAGAAGGCACGCUGGUGUGUAGGUGAAGUCCCUGCGGAUGGAGCUGAGACCAGUCGAAGAUACCAGCUGGCUGCAACUGUUUAUUAAAAACACAGCACUGUGCAAACACGAAAGUGGACGUAUACGGUGUGACGCCUGCCCGGUGCCGGAAGGUUAAUUGAUGGGGUUAUCCGUAAGGAGAAGCUCUUGAUCGAAGCCCCGGUAAACGGCGGCCGUAACUAUAACGGUCCUAAGGUAGCGAAAUUCCUUGUCGGGUAAGUUCCGACCUGCACGAAUGGCGUAAUGAUGGCCAGGCUGUCUCCACCCGAGACUCAGUGAAAUUGAACUCGCUGUGAAGAUGCAGUGUACCCGCGGCAAGACGGAAAGACCCCGUGAACCUUUACUAUAGCUUGACACUGAACAUUGAGCCUUGAUGUGUAGGAUAGGUGGGAGGCUUUGAAGCGUGGACGCCAGUCUGCGUGGAGCCAACCUUGAAAUACCACCCUUUAAUGUUUGAUGUUCUAACGUUGGCCCCUUACCGGGGUUGCGGACAGUGUCUGGUGGGUAGUUUGACUGGGGCGGUCUCCUCCCAAAGCGUAACGGAGGAGCACGAAGGUUAGCUAAUCCUGGUCGGACAUCAGGAGGUUAGUGCAAUGGCAUAAGCUAGCUUGACUGCGAGCGUGACGGCGCGAGCAGGUGCGAAAGCAGGUCAUAGUGAUCCGGUGGUUCUGAAUGGAAGGGCCAUCGCUCAACGGAUAAAAGGUACUCCGGGGAUAACAGGCUGAUACCGCCCAAGAGUUCAUAUCGACGGCGGUGUUUGGCACCUCGAUGUCGGCUCAUCACAUCCUGGGGCUGAAGUAGGUCCCAAGGGUAUGGCUGUUCGCCAUUUAAAGUGGUACGCGAGCUGGGUUUAGAACGUCGUGAGACAGUUCGGUCCCUAUCUGCCGUGGGCGCUGGAGAAUUGAGGGGGGCUGCUCCUAGUACGAGAGGACCGGAGUGGACGCAUCACUGGUGUUCGGGUUGUCAUGCCAAUGGCACUGCCCGGUAGCUAAAUGCGGAAGAGAUAAGUGCUGAAAGCAUCUAAGCACGAAACUUGCCCCGAGAUGAGUUCUCCCUGAGACUUUAAGUCUCCUGAAGGAACGUUGAAGACGACGACGUUGAUAGGCCGGGUGUGUAAGCGCAGCGAUGCGUUGAGCUAACCGGUACUAAUGAACCGUGAGGCUUAACCUU